AUUGAACGCUGGCGGCAUGCCUUACACAUGCAAGUCGAACGGCAGCACGGGUGCUUGCACCUGGUGGCGAGUGGCGAACGGGUGAGUAAUACAUCGGAACCUGUCCUGUAGUGGGGGAUAGCCCGGCGAAAGCCGGAUUAAUACCGCAUACGAUCUACGGAUGACAGGGGGGGACCUUCGGGCCUCGCGCUGUAGGGUUGGCCGAUGGCUGAUUAGCUAGUUGGUGGGGUAAAGGCCUACCAAGGCGACGAUCAGUAGCUGGUCUGAGAGGACGACCAGCCACACUGGGACUGAGACACGGCCCAGACUCCUACGGGAGGCAGCAGUGGGGAAUUUUGGACAAUGGGCGAAAGCCUGAUCCAGCAAUGCCGCGUGUGUGAAGAAGGCCUUCGGGUUGUAAAGCACUUUUGUCCGGAAAGAAAUCCUUGGCCCUAAUACGGUCGGGGGAUGACGGUACCGGAAGAAUAAGCACCGGCUAACUACGUG
RNAcentral lists this ribosomal RNA (486 nucleotides) under uncultured bacterium. Its description in RNAcentral is "partial 16S ribosomal RNA". It matches the Rfam family "Bacterial small subunit ribosomal RNA", at positions 30 to 507 of the family's 1533-position model. The record is from RNAcentral.